GAUGAACGCUGGCGGCGUGCCUAAUACAUGCAAGUCGAGCGAACAGACGAGGAGCUUGCUCCUCUGACGUUAGCGGCGGACGGGUGAGUAACACGUGGAUAACCUACCUAUAAGACUGGGAUAACUUCGGGAAACCGGAGCUAAUACCGGAUAAUAUAUUGAACCGCAUGGUUCAAUAGUGAAAGACGGUUUUGCUGUCACUUAUAGAUGGAUCCGCGCCGCAUUAGCUAGUUGGUAAGGUAACGGCUUACCAAGGCGACGAUGCGUAGCCGACCUGAGAGGGUGAUCGGCCACACUGGAACUGAGACACGGUCCAGGCUCCCACGGGAGGCAGCAGUAGGGAAUCUUCCGGAAUGGGCGAAAGCCUGACGGAGCAACGGCGGGUGGGUGAUGAAAGUCUUCGGAUCGUAAAACUCUGUUAUUAGGGAAGAACAAAUGUGUAAGUAACUAUGCACGUCUUGACGGUACCUAAUCAGAAAGCCACGGCUAACUACGUG
RNAcentral lists this ribosomal RNA (497 nucleotides) under uncultured bacterium. RNAcentral describes it as "partial 16S ribosomal RNA". It matches the Rfam family "Bacterial small subunit ribosomal RNA", at positions 28 to 507 of the family's 1533-position model. The record is from RNAcentral.